CUACGGGAGGCAGCAGUAGGGAAUCUUCCGCAAUGGGCGAAAGCCUGACGGAGCAACGCCGCGUGAGUGAUGAAGGUCUUCGGAUCGUAAAACUCUGUUAUUAGGGAAGAACAUAUGUGUAAGUAACUGUGCACAUCUUGACGGUACCUAAUCAAAAAGCCACGGCUAACUACGUGCCAGCAGCCGCGGUAAUACGUAGGUGGCAAGCGUUAUCCGGAAUUAUUGGGCGUAAAGCGCGCGUAGGCGGUUUUUUAAGUCUGAUGUGAAAGCCCACGGCUCAACCGUGGAGGGUCAUUGGAAACUGGAAAACUUGAGUGCAGAAGAGGAAAGUGGAAUUCCAUGUGUAGCGGUGAAAUGCGCAGAGAUAUGGAGGAACACCAGUGGCGAAGGCGACUUUCUGGUCUGUAACUGACGCUGAUGUGCGAAAGCGUGGGGAUCAAACAGGAUUAGAUACCCUGGUAGUCC
Molecule: ribosomal RNA, 465 nt
Filed under: Staphylococcus aureus
Lineage: Bacteria; Bacillati; Bacillota; Bacilli; Caryophanales; Staphylococcaceae
Description: bacterial SSU rRNA
Rfam family: Bacterial small subunit ribosomal RNA
Source: RNAcentral